GACAGAAAAAGAAGACGAAAAGGGGUACAGCCAGACACGUCUACCUCGAGACAUCAUGGCUGAGUAGCACGCAACACGCAUGCAAGAUCCCUAUGCAUUAUUGGGGGACAUUAGCAAUUGUUAGGCGGAAUGCAUUUGUGUAGGCAUUGAAGGAAGGCUUUUGAAAAUGUUUUGGGGAUCAUAAGGAUGAGCUGCAAGUGUCGGAGUCUGGAGACAUAGUUAAUUUGAAGCAUAUAGAUUUUAGUGCUGUUUCUUUUGAAAUGAAAUUGUUCAAUGAUUAAACUACAACCUACUCACUGAUUUAUUAACAUGCUUGUUGUCUGACAUGCACCUCCUCCUUAGCCUUGGGACCCUUUUCCAGAAUCUGCAGUCAAAUGGCAACAUUAUUAAUCCUGUCAAUAAUGUAUUCUGCUGGGCUUGGGUCUUGUCAUUAGCCCUGAAAGUGGUUGGGCCCCCCCUUAUCAAAUUUGUUUAGUUUUGGGCUUGAAAAACAUUUACAGUGAUAUAUAAAUAUCCUCAGAGCUUAGGAAGAGAAGAAAAAGGAAAAAAGAAAAUCAGACUUUCGUCUCUCCGAAAAAUACCCCCCAUCACCCUCUCUCCCAGUUUUCCUCUGUUUCAGUGUUUCCCACCCUGCCCCUCCCCUCAAAUUCAGCAAAGGAGGGAGGCUGCAUAAAGUUUUCAACGGAAAUCGAAGACUUGUCUCCCGACGGUACAAUAUGACCAGAAAACAUUGGCAUUGGUGGAGUGCUCCAUGUUCGACGUGCUCACAGGCUUGGUCUACUUCUCGAGUUAUUCUCUCGCCUUUGAGGUUUGUUGGUAAAAAUUUCAAAAUUGGUCUUCUUCAAUGUGGUAAAGAUAUUGAAUUUUGGUUUCAAUAGUCCUGUUAAUUUUCAUUCUGUUUAUUGUAAAGGAAAGUCAUGGGAUGGAUUUGUGAUUUUGUAGCCUCGUUUGUCUUGAUCGUUACAAAAGUUCUUACACUACUGGAACUUACAAGUCUUCCCAGUAUUGGCUUUUUUAUUAUUCUGGCUUCGGUGGUUCUCCUUUUGAUUUUACAUUGCUCGUUCUAUGUAUGUAUUCUUCUCUUUCCCAGGUUGCAUUUUGAAGGGCUAUUGGUUUCUGAGUCCUGGACAGUGAUUUGCUA
This is a long non-coding RNA of Carya illinoinensis, 1141 nucleotides long. RefSeq lists it as uncharacterized. NCBI's taxonomy places the organism in Eukaryota, Viridiplantae, Streptophyta, Magnoliopsida, Fagales, Juglandaceae. The record is from RefSeq and is a predicted model, not a curated record. The transcript has 2 exons.